This 648-nucleotide small RNA is filed under the name Pongo abelii (Sumatran orangutan). RNAcentral describes it as "retained intron". The record is from RNAcentral. Lineage: Eukaryota; Metazoa; Chordata; Mammalia; Primates; Hominidae.
GGCAGCCAAGCCUCCUCUCCUAAGCCUGCCCUUGGCCGGAUGGGAGGGUUCGAGUCCCUGGAGGGGCCCGUGAUCCCGGAGGAAAAGCCGGGCCGGGGUCCCUGCCUGGACCUUGUCGUCCCUGUGAGAAAGGAGUGGCUGCCUUCCUGGAUCCUGAAGGAGUGAAGUGGUUUGAAGCCUUCUGUGUGGGGGGCCUGGCCCCCGGCUGGAACCUGCUGGUCCAGGGACAUGCUGACUCUGGAGAGGACAGGUUCGAGACUAACUUCUUGUUGGAGACAGGGGACAUUGCCUUCCACAUCAAGUCCCAGUUCUCCAGCGCCGCCGUGGUGGGCAAUGCCUUCCAGGGUGGCCGCUGGGGCCCGGAGCAGGUGUCUAGCAUCUUCCCGCUGGCCCCGGGGGAGCCCUUGGAGGUGACAGGGGCCUGGAUGGGGCCUGGGCUAGGCAGGGGAGGCCCGUGGGGGAACAGGGAGCCAGCGGGCAGGGGGUUCACGGUGGACGCUUACAGGUCAGUGGGCCAGGGCAGGGUCUGGGUGGGCCUCCCUGGCCUGUUUCCCUACAUGUGCAGUGGGUACCCACCACCCUGGCUACCAGCCACUCCGUCUUGGGAGAAAGGAGGGGACUUUGGGCUGGGGGCUCCAAGCCAAGAGA